Molecule: ribosomal RNA, 253 nt
Filed under: uncultured bacterium
Lineage: Bacteria
Description: partial 16S ribosomal RNA
Rfam family: Bacterial small subunit ribosomal RNA
Source: RNAcentral
UACGUAGGGUGCAAGCGUUGUCCGGAAUUAUUGGGCGUAAAGAGCUCGUAGGCGGUUCGUCGCGUCGGCUGUGAAAACCCGGAGCUCAACUCCGGGCCUGCAGUCGAUACGGGCGGACUAGAGUUCGGCAGGGGAGACUGGAAUUCCUGGUGUAGCGGUGAAAUGCAUAGAUAUCAGGAGGAACACCGGUGGCGAAGGCGGUGAUCUGGGCCAGUACUGACGCUGAGGAGCGAAAGCGUGGGGAGCGAACAGG